This 433-nucleotide ribosomal RNA is filed under the name uncultured bacterium. Its description in RNAcentral is "partial 16S ribosomal RNA". It matches the Rfam family "Bacterial small subunit ribosomal RNA", at positions 29 to 506 of the family's 1533-position model. The record is from RNAcentral.
AGCGAACGCUGGCGGCAGGCCUAACACAUGCAAGUCGAACGAACCUUUCGGGGUUAGUGGCGGACGGGUGAGUAACACGUGGGAACGUGCCUUUAGGUUCGGAAUAACUCAGGGAAACUUGUGCUAAUACCGAAUGUGCCCUUCGGGGGAAAGAUUUAUCGCCUUUAGAGCGGCCCGCGUCUGAUUAGCUAGUUGGUUGAGGUAAUGGCUCACCAAGGCGACGAUCAGUAGCUGGUCUGAGAGGAUGAUCAGCCACAUUGGGACUGAGACACGGCCCAAACCCCGCCGGGAGCGAGCAGGGGGGAAUUUUGCGCAAGGGGGGAAAACUUAACACAGCCUUCCCGGGUGAAUAGUGAAGGGCUAAGGAUUGAAAAAUUCUUUCCCAGGGGAGGGUAAGGAGGGGCCCCGGAGAAGAGGCCCGGGCAAACCUGGG